RNAcentral lists this ribosomal RNA (442 nucleotides) under uncultured Prevotella sp. Its description in RNAcentral is "bacterial SSU rRNA". It matches the Rfam family "Bacterial small subunit ribosomal RNA", at positions 355 to 794 of the family's 1533-position model. The record is from RNAcentral. Lineage: Bacteria; Pseudomonadati; Bacteroidota; Bacteroidia; Bacteroidales; Prevotellaceae.
UGAGGAAUAUUGGUCAAUGGGCGGAAGCCUGAACCGGCCAAGUAGCGUGCAGGAAGACGGCCCUAUGGGUUGUAAACUGCUUUCAGUCGGGAAUAAUUCGUCGGUCGUGACCGACGUUGCAGGUACCGUCAUAAGAAGGACCGGCUAAUUCCGUGCCAGCAGCCGCGGUAAUACGGAAGGUCCAGGCGUUAUCCGGAUUUAUUGGGUUUAAAGGGAGCGUAGGCCGCCCCUUAAGCGUGUUGUGAAAUGCCGCGGCUCAACCGUGGCACUGCAGCGCGAACUGGGGGGCUUGAGUGCACGCAACGCAGGCGGAAUUCGUGGUGUAGCGGUGAAAUGCUUAGAUAUCACGAAGAACUCCGAUUGCGAAGGCAGCUUGCGGGAGUGCGACUGACGCUGAAGCUCGAAGGUGCGGGUAUCGAACAGGAUUAGAUACCCUGGUAGU